RNAcentral lists this ribosomal RNA (253 nucleotides) under uncultured bacterium. RNAcentral describes it as "partial 16S ribosomal RNA". It matches the Rfam family "Bacterial small subunit ribosomal RNA", at positions 524 to 776 of the family's 1533-position model. The record is from RNAcentral.
UACGUAGGGGGCAAGCGUUGUCCGGAAUCAUUGGGCGUAAAGAGCGUGUAGGCGGCCCGAUAAGUCCGCUGUGAAAGUCCAGGGCUCAACCCUGGAAUGCCGGUGGAUACUGUCGAGCUAGAGUACGGAAGAGGCGAGUGGAAUUCCCGGUGUAGCGGUGAAAUGCGCAGAUAUCGGGAGGAACACCAAUUGCGAAGGCAGCUCGCUGGGACGUCACUGACGCUGAGACGCGAAAGCGUGGGGAGCAAACAGG